GACGAACGCUGGCGGCGUGCCCAAUACAUGCAAGUCGAGCGAUGAUUAAAGAUAGCUUGCUAUUUUUAUGAAGAGCGGCGAACGGGUGAGUAACGCGUGGGAAAUCUGCCGAGUAGCGGGGGACAACGUUUGGAAACGAACGCUAAUACCGCAUAACAAUGAGAAUCGCAUGAUUCUUAUUUGAAAGAAGCAAUUGCUUCACUACUUGAUGAUCCCGCGUUGUAUUAGCUAGUUGGUAGUGUAAAGGACUACCAAGGCGAUGAUACAUAGCCGACCUGAGAGGGUGAUCGGCCACACUGGGGCUGAGACACGGCCCAGACUCCUACGGGAGGCAGCAGUAGGGAAUCUUCGGCAAUGGGGGCAACCCUGACCGAGCAACGCCGCGUGAGUGAAGAAGGUUUUCGGAUCGUAAAACUCUGUUGUUAGAGAAGAACGUUAAGUAGAGUGGAAAAUUACUUAAGUGACGGUAUCUAACCAGAAAGGGACGGCUAACUACGUGCCAGCAGCCGCAGUAA
Molecule: ribosomal RNA, 515 nt
Filed under: uncultured bacterium
Lineage: Bacteria
Description: partial 16S ribosomal RNA
Rfam family: Bacterial small subunit ribosomal RNA
Source: RNAcentral